ACAGCAGCCGCCGCGGGAAUACGUAGGGUGCAAGCGUUAAUCGGAAUUACUGGGCGUAAAGCGUGCGCAGGCGGUUAUAUAAGACAGAUGUGAAAUCCCCGGGCUCAACCUGGGAACUGCAUUUGUGACUGUAUAGCUAGAGUACGGCAGAGGGGGAUGGAAUUACGCGUGUAGCAGUGAAAUGCGUAGAUAUGCGGAGGAACACCGAUGGCGAAGGCAAUCCCCUGGGCCUGUACUGACGCUCAUGCACGAAAGCGUGGGGAGCAAACAGGAUUAGAUACCCCAGUAGUCCCUGUCUCUUAUAA
This 305-nucleotide ribosomal RNA is filed under the name uncultured bacterium. RNAcentral describes it as "partial 16S ribosomal RNA". It matches the Rfam family "Bacterial small subunit ribosomal RNA", at positions 508 to 809 of the family's 1533-position model. The record is from RNAcentral.